GACGAACGCUGGCGGCGUGCCUAAUACAUGCAAGUCGAACGAACCGCGACUAAGUGCUUGCACUAAGUCAAGGUGAGUGGCGAACGGGUGAGUAACACGUGGGUAACCUACCUCAUAGUGGGGGAUAACAGUCGGAAGCGACUGCUAAUACCGCAUAGGACAUAGGAUCACAUGAUCCAGUGAGGAAAGGUGGCGCAAGCUAUCGCUAAGAGAUGGACCCGCGGUGCAUUAGCUAGUUGGUAGGGUAAAGGCCUACCAAGGCGAUGAUGCAUAGCCGACCUGAGAGGGUGAUCGGCCACAUUGGGACUGAGACACGGCCCAAACUCCUACGGGAGGCAGCAGUAGGGAAUCUUCCGCAAUGGACGCAAGUCUGACGGAGCAACGCCGCGUGAGUGAAGAAGGUCUUCGGAUCGUAAAGCUCUGUUGUUAGAGAAGAACAGCGCAUAGAGUAACUGCUAUGCGUGUGACGGUAUCUAACCAGAAAGCCACGGCUAACUACGUG
Molecule: ribosomal RNA, 502 nt
Filed under: uncultured bacterium
Lineage: Bacteria
Description: partial 16S ribosomal RNA
Rfam family: Bacterial small subunit ribosomal RNA
Source: RNAcentral